RNAcentral lists this ribosomal RNA (162 nucleotides) under Fusarium oxysporum. RNAcentral describes it as "5.8S ribosomal RNA". It matches the Rfam family "5.8S ribosomal RNA". Rfam says of the family: 5.8S ribosomal RNA (5.8S rRNA) is a component of the large subunit of the eukaryotic ribosome. Lineage: Eukaryota; Fungi; Ascomycota; Sordariomycetes; Hypocreales; Nectriaceae. The record is from RNAcentral.
CAAAACUUUCAACAACGGAUCUCUUGGUUCUGGCAUCGAUGAAGAACGCAGCAAAAUGCGAUAAGUAAUGUGAAUUGCAGAAUUCAGUGAAUCAUCGAAUCUUUGAACGCACAUUGCGCCCGCCAGUAUUCUGGCGGGCAUGCCUGUUCGAGCGUCAUUUCA